GACGAACGCUGGCGGCGUGCCUAAUACAUGCAAGUAGAACGCACAGUUUAUACCGUAGCUUGCUACACCAUAGACUGUGAGUUGCGAACGGGUGAGUAACGCGUAGGUAACCUGCCUGGUAGCGGGGGAUAACUAUUGGAAACGAUAGCUAAUACCGCAUAAUAUUAAUUAUUGCAUGAUAAUUAAUUGAAAGGUGCAAUUGCACCACUACCAGAUGGACCUGCGUUGUAUUAGCUAGUAGGUGAGGUAACGGCUCACCUAGGCGACGAUACAUAGCCGACCUGAGAGGGUGAUCUGCCAAGCUGGGAAGGGAACAAGGCCCAGACUCCUGCGGGAGGCAGCAGGAGGGAAGCUUCGGCAAAGGACGAAAGGCUGACCGGGCAACGCCGCGGGAGUGAAGAAGGUUUUCGGAUCGGAAAGCUCUGUUGUAAGAGAAGAACGGGAGUGAGAGUGGAAAGUUCACACUGUGACGGUAUCUUACCAGAAAGGGACGGCUAACUACGUG
This 505-nucleotide ribosomal RNA is filed under the name uncultured bacterium. RNAcentral describes it as "partial 16S ribosomal RNA". It matches the Rfam family "Bacterial small subunit ribosomal RNA", at positions 28 to 507 of the family's 1533-position model. The record is from RNAcentral.